Molecule: long non-coding RNA, 1204 nt
Organism: Amblyraja radiata (thorny skate)
Lineage: Eukaryota; Metazoa; Chordata; Chondrichthyes; Rajiformes; Rajidae
Exons: 4
Source: RefSeq, a predicted model, not a curated record
GAGGAGGGGGCAGGAAAGGGAAGGAAUGGGUUGGACAACAUUUCAAAAGGCAUCAAGUCUGUCUGCACCGUUUUGAAGGCGAGCAUUCAGAUAAUGGAGUAAGGAGAACGUAACAUUUCAAACUGAAAUCUGUGUGCUAUCCAGCGACAUUUGGAGUUCGUGGGUGUGUGUGUGUAGAGGGUCUGUGUUAAAGUUACACCGCAUUUGACCAGUGCUCCAUUUAUUCAAGCCGAUCACCACGGUCACAUUCUGACCGGCAAAAUCUUUCACCAGCCAAACAUCUCUCUUGUGAAAUGCGAAUUCUCCAUUAUACCCUGCACCAGAAGAUAUUCGGCAUCCACGAGGAAGGACGCACUGUUUGCGCAGGAAUCCUGAAAGCAGGUCCUGGCUCUGUGGGUAACGUUUCUCCAGCCACUCGCAGUGCUUUACCUGACCCAGCACCAUGAGUUAGAGCGAGCCGCCCAGGCUCUUCCGUGAGCUGAGUUGGAAGGAUCGCAGGAAGAGAAAGCCCUCCAUCACUCCAUGUUACGCAGCUGCCCCUACCUCCUUUGGCUGUGGACACUUUCAGAGUCCGGUGUACCUGGCCAAGGCUGACGAACGGUGGGUGUGUCAUGGAGCUCGAGCUGAUGCAGCCCCAGGAGGUGAGAUCCCAGAUGCAACGCUGCACUGACUCCUGCAAUUCCCUGGCUCCCGCCUGCCCUGAGUGGAGGAGGGACAGUCAGGGUGGGAUCGGGAAACCUUGAGGCUCUGAGUGAGCAGAGGGGAUGAAGCCACUCACUGACUAUCCCCAGCCGUCAACAUUGCCUCACCUGGGGAAGAGUAGAGGCUUGGAAAUUUGGUUUCAGCCCCCCCCGAGUUGAAAGUACCAGAGUGGGUCAUCGUCGUCUUUGAUCAAGGGGACAGCCCGAGAUCCAGUGCCGCCGGGCCUACAGGCCUUAAAGUGAGAAUGGAGGAAAUUGCAACUCUCCGUGGGCCAGGAUCGGAUUUUUCAGAGACUUGGAAGAUGAAAGAUGGUGCAAGAACUUGGCAACUCUCUGUGAACUGUUCCAGGAGAGGAUCUAUUGUACUCAUGUAUAGUAUGCCUUGACUGGAUAACAUGCAUAAAAGGCAUUACACUAUAUCUCUGUACACAUGACAAUAAAUAAAUUACAAACUAAGCAGGAUUCCAUCUGGCAACCAUAUGAUCAAUGAAGGUAGCCAGUGA